GACAUACUUCCAACUAAUGGAGAAUUUUCGUUGACGGUAUUUAUGUUGUUUUCUUCACCCUCGACCAUGACUUUCUUUUAUUGUUGAGAAGAGUUUAAGGUAGAAGUUCCUUUUUGUUGCUUGGAUAAUUGUUAGCGUCUUCUGUUCUUAAUGAUGUUCCUUCAGAUCGUCCUCUCAAUCUCUGGAUCAAAAAGAAGUUGAUCUUCUAGAGUUUUACCUCGAAUACACAAAAUUCAAAACCUAACCACACAAGUGACC
RNAcentral lists this long non-coding RNA (258 nucleotides) under Lathyrus oleraceus (garden pea). RNAcentral's name for it is "Pisum sativum (pea) long non-coding RNA (PSAT_LNC000846)". The record is from RNAcentral. Lineage: Eukaryota; Viridiplantae; Streptophyta; Magnoliopsida; Fabales; Fabaceae.